UACGUAGGUGGCAAGCGUUGUCCGGAUUUACUGGGUGUAAAGGGCGCGUAGGCGGGAUAGCAAGUCAGUCGUGAAAUGCUGAGGCUUAACCUCGGAGCUGCGAUUGAAACUGUUAUUCUUGAGUAUCGGAGAGGAAAGCGGAAUUCCUAGUGUAGCGGUGAAAUGCGUAGAUAUUAGGAGGAACACCAGUGGCGAAGGCGGCUUUCUGGACGACAACUGACGCUGAGGCGCGAAAGUGUGGGGAGCAAACAGG
RNAcentral lists this ribosomal RNA (253 nucleotides) under uncultured bacterium. Its description in RNAcentral is "partial 16S ribosomal RNA". It matches the Rfam family "Bacterial small subunit ribosomal RNA", at positions 524 to 776 of the family's 1533-position model. The record is from RNAcentral.